AACAAACGCUGGCGGCGUGCCUAACACAUGCAAGUCGAACGCGAAAAUCGGCUUCGGCCGAUGAGUAAAGUGGCGCACGGGUGAGUAACGCGUGGAUAAUCUACCCUUCAGUUGGGAAUAACUUAUCGAAAGGUGAGCUAAUACCGAAUAAAACUGCCUGACCACGGUCGGGUAGUCAAAGAUAGCCUCUGCUUGCAAGCUUUCGCUGAAUGAUGAGUCCGCGUACCAUUAGCUAGUUGGUGGGGUAAUGGCCUACCAAGGCGACGAUGGUUAGCUGGUCUGAGAGGAUGAUCAGCCACACUGGAACUGAGACACGGUCCAGACUCCUACGGGAGGCAGCAGUGAGGAAUCUUGCGCAAUGGGGGAAACCCUGACGCAGCAACGCCGCGUGAGUGAGGAAGGUCUUCGGAUCGUAAAGCUCUGUCGGGUGGAAAGAAAUGUAUGGGGUUAAUAGCCUUCAUACUUGACGGUACCACCAAAGGAAGCACCGGCUAACUCCG
Molecule: ribosomal RNA, 500 nt
Filed under: uncultured bacterium
Lineage: Bacteria
Description: bacterial SSU rRNA
Rfam family: Bacterial small subunit ribosomal RNA
Source: RNAcentral